RNAcentral lists this small nucleolar RNA (51 nucleotides) under Tetrahymena thermophila. RNAcentral describes it as "partial box C/D snoRNA". Lineage: Eukaryota; Ciliophora; Oligohymenophorea; Hymenostomatida; Tetrahymenidae. The record is from RNAcentral.
GUCUCGUUCGUCUGAAUUCUAUUGAAGAAAUCACAUAACGGAAGCCUGAUU